AUGGAGCAGAAGAAAGAGACGGUGACGACGACGACGAGGGAGGAAGCGAAAGAGAGACUAUCAUAUGUUUAGAGAAUCUCUACUUUUUGCGCGCUCUGGAAUCCACCGUCACUCUCCCUUCUCAACGCAAGGCCAUCUUCAGCGACCUUCUCUCAAGAGACGUUGCUCUUUUCUUAGAACGAUACGGGUCCAAACUCGCGUGCAGUGAGCUUAACGAAUUCGAUUCGAUGAAAGACGGUUAUGAGGUUAAUUGGCACGUGAAGCGGUUAAGGAGCAUAAUUAGUCCGACGUCGGAGGAGCUGAGGAUGCGGCCAGUGACGGUGAAGAAUCGGAGGCGCGCCUGCUUGGACAAACUGCUGUGCCAAGGGCAUUACUUCUCCGAGGAUGCAAUGAGGGAGAGAGAGCCGUAUCUGCAUCAUGAGUACGUGGGGAGGUUUCAGGACCAGAGUUGCAGACGCAUGGCGAGGCCGGGGGAGCGGUGGUCCGAGACACUGAUGAGGAGGUGUGAUGAGACGGAGCUGGUUGUGAAGAUUAGAGGGGGAGCAGCAGAGGAUGGGCGUGCCGUAGAGGGACUGGGUUGGUAAUGAGGGACUUCAAGAAUAAGAAGAGGAGGAGGAGGAAGACAAAGAAGAGGAAACUCAAGAGGAGGUGGAAGUGGAUGAAGACAGGAGAAGAAAUAGUAGCAAUGGACAACCCUGUAGAGGGACUUGGGACACACCCAACAUUCGCCUGAAUGAGGAAUUCCAUAAAGCAACCUGGCAGAACAAUUUAAGAACAAGACACCUGAAUGAGGGUGAUCCAGGCAGAGUGAGUGAGGAGAAUCAACUUUAUCUGCAGAAGAACUGGAGGACCGGAUGAAUCAGUUCACCUACAUUAUGCAGCAGAAGUUUCUAUUAGGGAAAGAUCACGAACAUCUUGAUUACACUAAAAUAGAUAAUGACGAGGCCCUUGACGAUAUUUUGCUGAUGACUGAACAAACUGAACUAUGGCAUCAUACUGGGUAAUGGGGAUUCAGAUUCGCCUUUGUCCAUAUUGAAAUCUACAUUGUACGUAAAUAAGUUACAGGUGUAUAUUCUUAAUAUAAAGUUUCUUUAAUUUCUUUGUAGAAUAUGAUUAUUGAUUGUGAUAGGAACUCGGAAGCUUGGCAUGGGUCGCUUCUUGCAUUUUCCGCAAUUACUCGGUUUUUAUUUUUGCAAUAAGAAAAAAAAAUCGGUUGUGACUA
Molecule: RNA transcript, 1222 nt
Organism: Glycine soja
Lineage: Eukaryota; Viridiplantae; Streptophyta; Magnoliopsida; Fabales; Fabaceae
Gene name: coiled-coil domain-containing protein 97-like
Exons: 4
Source: RefSeq, a predicted model, not a curated record